CUCACUUCACAUGGAGGCCAGAAGUCAAAAGGUCAACACUUCAAUCUUCAUCUUCUUCUUCUUCUUCUUCUUCAUCCUCUUAGCAUCUCACCUCUCACUCGCAGCUCCAACAACCACAUGGGUCGGCUCAAAAUACCAGAUCGAAUGCACAAUGUGUGCCGCCUGUGACAACCCAUGCGACCAACAACCACCACCAUCACCACCGCCGCCGCAACCAGUCUACCCUCCACCGCCUCCACCUCCCACCUCUACCGGCGGCGGCUACUACUACUCUCCACCACCUCCCACAUCCGGAACAGGAGGUGGUUACUACUAUUCUCCACCACCACCAUCUCAGGGAGUUUACUACUACUACCCACCACCGGCGUCGUACAAGAACUACCCCACCUCAACACCACCGAACCCAAUUAUGAAUUACUACCCGUAUUAUUAUUACAACCCUCCAAUGCCUAACUCCUCCGCCGUGUCACUUGCCGGCGCCACCACUAUGUUACUAAUCAAUAUGCUUUUC
RNAcentral lists this long non-coding RNA (511 nucleotides) under Lactuca sativa (garden lettuce). Its description in RNAcentral is "long non-coding RNA (LSAT_LNC006937)". The record is from RNAcentral. Lineage: Eukaryota; Viridiplantae; Streptophyta; Magnoliopsida; Asterales; Asteraceae.